UAAAAGAGGCCAGACAACAAAAUGUAUACAG
Molecule: non-coding RNA, 31 nt
Filed under: Mus musculus (house mouse)
Lineage: Eukaryota; Metazoa; Chordata; Mammalia; Rodentia; Muridae
Source: RNAcentral